RNAcentral lists this ribosomal RNA (395 nucleotides) under uncultured bacterium. Its description in RNAcentral is "bacterial SSU rRNA". It matches the Rfam family "Bacterial small subunit ribosomal RNA", at positions 505 to 898 of the family's 1533-position model. The record is from RNAcentral.
GUGUCAGCCGCCGCGGUAAUACGUAGGGGGCGAGCGUUGUCCGGAUUUACUGGGCGUAAAGAGCGCGUAGGCGGCUCGUUAAGUUGGCGGUGAAAGUCUUCGGCUCAACCGGGGAAGGUCGGCCAAAACUGGCGGGCUCGAGGGCGGUAGAGGAAGGUGGAAUUCCUGGUGUAGUGGUGAAAUGCGUAGAUAUCAGGAGGAACACCGGUGGCGAAGGCGGCCUUCUGGGCCGCACCUGACGCUGAGGCGCGAAAGCGUGGGGAGCGAACUGAAUUAGAUACUCAGGUAGUCCACGCCCUAAACGAUGGACGCUAGGUGUGGGGGGUAUCGACCCCUCCCGUGCCGAAGCUAACGCAUUAAGCGUCCCGCCUGGGGAGUACGGCCGCAAGGCUAAA